CGCAUGGUGGCUUAGUGGUUAGCACGUUCGCCUCACACCUCCAGGGUCUGAGUUCAAUUCAGGGCCAUGUGU
This is a non-coding RNA of Ameiurus melas (black bullhead), 72 nucleotides long. The record is from the annotation of a GenBank genome assembly. NCBI's taxonomy places the organism in Eukaryota, Metazoa, Chordata, Actinopteri, Siluriformes, Ictaluridae.